RNAcentral lists this non-coding RNA (29 nucleotides) under Homo sapiens (human). Lineage: Eukaryota; Metazoa; Chordata; Mammalia; Primates; Hominidae. The record is from RNAcentral.
UGGCCCAGAGCCAGAAUUGAUUGCUCAGU